Molecule: ribosomal RNA, 253 nt
Filed under: uncultured bacterium
Lineage: Bacteria
Description: partial 16S ribosomal RNA
Rfam family: Bacterial small subunit ribosomal RNA
Source: RNAcentral
UACAGAGGGGGCAAGCGUUGUUCGGAAUUACUGGGCGUAAAGGGCGCGUAGGCGGCCUUCUAAGUCGAACGUGAAAUCCCAAGGCUUAACCUUGGAACUGCGUCGGAUACUGGAUGGCUUGAAUUCGGGAGAGGGAUGCAGAAUUCCAGGUGUAGCGGUGAAAUGCGUAGAUAUCUGGAGGAAUACCGGUGGCGAAGGCGGCAUCCUGGACCGACAUUGACGCUGAACGGCGAAAGCUAGGGGAGCAAACGGG